AUGGCCGCCUCCUGCACCCUCGGCCCGCCAUUGGGGUCCACCUCCACGCCGAUCACCCACGGCACCAGCUUCUUGAUGUAUCUGGUGGCGUUCCCGGCGUGCAGCAGCGCUCUGGAGCGGAAGCAGAAGGACGCGUCGGUGCCGUCCGGCGCCGACCGUAUCGCGAGCUGGCUCUUGAGCCGCAGGAAGUCGUCCGGGUCCAUCAGCAGGUGCAGGUCCUCGAUGUCGGCAAGCAGCUUCCAGAUCCGCUCCAGGAUCCAGCAGUCGUUCGCCGCCGCCUCCCAGUCCUUCGCUUCGAUCCGGCUGUUCAGGCGGGUGAGAAGCUGAGACGCCGCGCACAGCCAGGAUUCAAGAAUCUGGUGGAUGGUGAAGAGCGCCUCGUUCUCGCGGUUGCGGUAG
This 399-nucleotide ribosomal RNA is filed under the name Triticum aestivum (bread wheat). RNAcentral's name for it is "partial small subunit ribosomal RNA". The record is from RNAcentral. Lineage: Eukaryota; Viridiplantae; Streptophyta; Magnoliopsida; Poales; Poaceae.